Molecule: unclassified non-coding RNA, 444 nt
Filed under: Hevea brasiliensis (rubber tree)
Lineage: Eukaryota; Viridiplantae; Streptophyta; Magnoliopsida; Malpighiales; Euphorbiaceae
Source: RNAcentral
GAGUAUGCGCAUGAGAAGGCCCAGAAGUACAAGGAAGGAAAAUUCAUCCUUGAGAGGUGAGUAUCACUCUUUAUUAUGGUUUGCAUAAAGUUAUUUUUGAGACUGGAAUUUAUUGUUCAGCAGGUAUAAGAUUUUGGGUCCUGAUGGAAGCAACUACAUGGGUGGUCAAGAGGCUCAAGCUAUAGGGAGUGAUGCUGAUGAUGCUUGAUUGGCUAUAUAGCGUGGAAUGAUUUUACAUAAUGUACAUUUUCUACUUCCCGUGUUAAUUUCCAUACUUACUGAAGUGGUUCUAAAUUUGGCAUCUUUGCUUAGUCUUUUUCCCUAUUCCCAAUCAACUUGCUAAUGAAAUUUCACGGAAGUAGUUUGCCAUUUGCAUUGGUAAACUUUGAAUUCAGUUUAGCGUUUACUUGUUCACUAUUCUAUCAGAAAGGCCUGCCAUUAAAA